CAAGGCUUGACAUGCACGGGAAGCCACCAGAGAUGGUGGUCUCUUUGGACACUCGUGCACAGGUGGUGCAUGGUUGUCGUCAGCUCGUGUCGUGAGAUGUUGGGUUAAGUCCCGCAACGAGCGCAACCCUCGUCCCAUGUUGCCAGCGGGUUAUGCCGGGGACUCAUGGGAGACUGCCGGGGUCAACUCGGAGGAAGGUGGGGAUGACGUCAAAUCAUCAUGCCCCUUAUGUCUUGGGCUUCACGCAUGCUACAAUGGCCGGUACAAAGGGCUGCGAUACCGUAAGGUGGAGCGAAUCCCAAAAAGCCGGUCUCAGUUCGGAUUGGGGUCUGCAACUCGACCCCAUGAAGUCGGAGUCGCUAGUAAUCGCAGAUCAGCAACGCUGCGGUGAAUA
RNAcentral lists this ribosomal RNA (394 nucleotides) under uncultured bacterium. Its description in RNAcentral is "bacterial SSU rRNA". It matches the Rfam family "Bacterial small subunit ribosomal RNA", at positions 975 to 1368 of the family's 1533-position model. The record is from RNAcentral.